Molecule: ribosomal RNA, 257 nt
Filed under: Fomitopsis pinicola
Lineage: Eukaryota; Fungi; Basidiomycota; Agaricomycetes; Polyporales; Fomitopsidaceae
Description: 5.8S ribosomal RNA
Rfam family: 5.8S ribosomal RNA (bases 102-256)
About the family: 5.8S ribosomal RNA (5.8S rRNA) is a component of the large subunit of the eukaryotic ribosome. It is transcribed by RNA polymerase I as part of the 45S precursor that also contains 18S and 28S rRNA.
Source: RNAcentral
GUUUCCUUAUCCACCUGUGCACCCUUUGUAGGCCCUCGAAAGAGGUUCUAUGUUUAUCUAUCUACUACCACAUGUAUGUCCAGAAUGUAUACAAAUUUUACAACUUUCAGCAACGGAUCUCUUGGCUCUCGCAUCGAUGAAGAACGCAGCGAAUUGCGAUAAGUAAUGUGAAUUGCAGAUUUUCAGUGAAUCAUCGAAUCUUUGAACGCACCUUGCGCUCCUUGGUAUUCCGAGGAGCAUGCCUGUUUGAGUGUCAU